Molecule: long non-coding RNA, 439 nt
Organism: Silurus meridionalis
Lineage: Eukaryota; Metazoa; Chordata; Actinopteri; Siluriformes; Siluridae
Exons: 2
Source: RefSeq, a predicted model, not a curated record
CUCGCUUUCUCUCGUCACGCGCGUGUGUACAGAACACGCAACACGUGCGUCAGGUGGAGAAUCCUUGUGAAGGGCAGCAGAAGCCAACAUAGUAUUUUUCAGUGUUUGUCACGUGAACCUCAUCAUAUCCGCAGUACAGUGGUAAGGGCAGCUCAUACCACCAUGAUGAUGUCACAAAGUGGGAAAGAAAUGCAGAAGUCAGAUGAUGAUGGCGGUGAAUGAGAAAAGAGUUGCAAUAAAAAAGUGGGCAUUAAGCAAGUGUUAGAAAGGGCAAAAUAAGAUCAUGUGCAUACUGAGUUUCAGUGCUUCAAUGGAUUUAGUAAGCAAGUACUUUAUUUCUACAGCUCCUUUCUAGAGCAAUCGUCAAAAAUUCUUCACUUCUAAGAGAACGAUUGGAUGACUUUGUUUCGCUGAAUAAAGUACUUUUAUGGCAUCACAA